This 84-nucleotide microRNA precursor is filed under the name Bombyx mori (domestic silkworm). RNAcentral's name for it is "mir-2807 microRNA precursor family". It matches the Rfam family "mir-2807 microRNA precursor family". The record is from Rfam by way of RNAcentral. Lineage: Eukaryota; Metazoa; Arthropoda; Insecta; Lepidoptera; Bombycidae.
UUAACUCAGAUUUGUAUGGAGUUGGGACGUUUGCGUACGUUUGCCGCUAGGGGCGCUGUUCCAACUGCAUACAAAAUUGGGCUA